GAUGAACGCUGGCGGCGUGCCUAAUACAUGCAAGUCGAGCGAACGGGCGAGAAGCUUGCUUCUCUGAUGUUAGCGGUGGACGGGUGAGUAACACGUGGAUAACCUACCUAUAAGACUGGGAUAACUUCGGGAAACCGGAGCUAAUACCGGAUGAUAUUUUGAACCGCAUGGUUCAAAAGUGAAAGACGGUCUUGCUGUCACUUAUAGAUGGAUCCGCGCUGCAUUAGCUAGUUGGUAAGGUAACGGCUUACCAAGGCAACGAUGCAUAGCCGACCUGAGAGGGUGAUCGGCCACACUGGAACUGAGACACGGUCCAGACUCCUACGGGAGGCAGCAGUAGGGAAUCUUCCGCAAUGGGCGAAAGCCUGACGGAGCAACGCCGCGUGAGUGAUGAAGGUCUUCGGAUCGUAAAACUCUGUUAUUAGGGAAGAACAUAUGUGUAAGUAACUGUGCACAUCUUGACGGUACCUAAUCAGAAAGCCACGGCUAACUACGUG
This 497-nucleotide ribosomal RNA is filed under the name uncultured bacterium. RNAcentral describes it as "partial 16S ribosomal RNA". It matches the Rfam family "Bacterial small subunit ribosomal RNA", at positions 28 to 507 of the family's 1533-position model. The record is from RNAcentral.